GGGCAAGCAGGUCGUAAGCUGCAAGCCGAGGCGCUCUCACCUCGCAAAUCCAGAGCAAACAUACAAAUGCCAACACUGGCAAAGCGUUCACCUUCCCCUUUGCUCGCACCAACGCUAUGGCGCUGGCUGCGUAACAAGGAGAGGCUCUGAACCAAACUGGUCGCCCAGUGCGACCACGGUGCCCUCGCCGGGGCCAGGCGGCGACGAGGUGCAUCGUCAUAGACCGUAAGGUGCAGCCCGCAGACGCCGAUAGGCGGGACUAAGAUCCUCGGCUAGCCGAGCUAGUGGACGGUGGUCACUGCCGGACCGUUCGGCGAAAUCCUAAUCAGAGACUAAGCUUGUAGGCGCUUACGGUCGUUUGUUU
This 364-nucleotide transfer-messenger RNA is filed under the name Streptococcus pneumoniae. It matches the Rfam family "transfer-messenger RNA", at positions 22 to 341 of the family's 374-position model. Rfam says of the family: Bacterial tmRNA, also known as 10Sa RNA or SsrA, is named for its dual tRNA and mRNA-like properties. Its role is to liberate the mRNA from a stalled ribosome. To accomplish this part of the tmRNA is used as a reading frame that ends in a translation stop signal. Lineage: Bacteria; Bacillati; Bacillota; Bacilli; Lactobacillales; Streptococcaceae. The record is from RNAcentral.